Molecule: ribosomal RNA, 1241 nt
Filed under: human gut metagenome
Description: bacterial LSU rRNA
Rfam family: Bacterial large subunit ribosomal RNA
Source: RNAcentral
AGCUGGUUCUCCCCGAAAUAGCUUUAGGGCUAGCCUUGUGGAAGAGUCUGGCGGAGGUAGAGCACUGAAUGACGGCGGGGGCAUAGAGCCUACCAAAGUUUAUCAAACUGCGAAUGCCGCACAGAUGUUACACAGGAGUCAGACUAUAUGAGAUAAGUUAGAUAGUCAAAAGGGAAAAAGCCCAGACCAUCAGCUAAGGUCCCGAAGUGUGUGUUAAGUGGAAAAGGAUGUGAGACUUCGAAGACAACUAGGAUGUUGGCUUAGAAGCAGCCACGCAUUGAAAGAGUGCGUAAUAGCUCACUAGUCGAGAGGACUUGCGCCGAAAAUACACGGGGCUAAAACACACCACCGAAGCUAUGGAAUACAGGAAUGUAUUGGUAGGGGAGCAUUGUGUGAGGAAGAAGCGUAAGCGGAAGCGAACGUGGACGAAACAGAAGAGAGAAUGCCGGAAUGAGUAGCGAGAUAGAAGUGAGAAUCUUCUAGGCCGAAAAUCUAAGGGAUCCAGAGUAAAGCUGAUCUGCUCUGGGGAAGUCGGGACCUAAGGCGAGGCUGAGAAGCGUAGUCGAUGGAUAACAGGUUGAAAAUCCUGUACCGUAAGUAAACAGAACUGUGGGGACACAGGAGGAUAGUAAGAUCCGGGAAUGGGAAAACCGGAACAAGCACAAAGGUACUGAGGUAGGCAAAACCGCCUGAGUGAACUGAAGUGUGACGUGGACUGAAAUGAAGUAAGGAAGCUUAUGAAUCCAAACUGUCAAGAAAAGCCGCUAUAGAUUUACUUACGCCCGUACCGCAAACCGACACAGGUAGAUGAGGAGAGAAUCCACAGGCCGGCGGGAGAAGCGUUGUUAAGGAACUAGGCAAAAUGACCCCGUAACUUAGGGAGAAGGGGUGCCUCGAAAGAGGCCGCAGAGAAGAGGCCCAAGCGACUGUUUAACAAAAACACAGGUUUCUGCGAAACCGGAAGGUGAAGUAUAGGAGCUGACGCCUGCCCGGUGCUGGAAGGUUAAGGGGAGACGUAAGGGAAACCGAAGCGUUGAACUUAAGCCCCAGUAAACGGCGGCCGUAACUAUAACGGUCCUAAGGUAGCGAAAUUCCUUGUCGGGUAAGUUCCGACCCGCACGAAAGGCGUAACGAUUUGGGCACUGUCUCAACAACGCACCCGGUGAAAUUGAAGUGCCAGUGAAGAUACUGGCUCCCCGCGACAGGACGGAAAGACCCCAUGGAGCUUUACUCCAGCUUGA